GGAUGGCUUCCCUCCUUGUGGACAGAGUGAGUCUCUGCUAUGAGAAAGACCCGUGUUGGAGCCACACUGCCCGGGACAGCCCUGAAGCAGCCACGUCCCCACCUUUCAGGAGUCGGCCAAGAGCACGGUGGCUGCAGAAGGCCCUGGCUGAUGGAGAUAACAUUUGACAAACAGGUGCUUUUCCAAUUAUGGAUAACAACAGAAAAGCAGUCAUUGGUUUCUAAAAGGUCAUCAAGAUAUAAAGCCCGUUUGGGAAGGGAAUGACUUACGCAGUGGGCUUGUAUAAAUCUGGAGAAGUUUUAUGCACAAGUCGGACAAGAAAUGUGUUCUACAUACGGCUCGGGAGCCAGCAAGUGCGUAUGAAGCCCCUUCACAUGGCUAGUGGCAUCCUAAGGACCCGGCGACAAUUAGUCAUGGCGUCAUCGAACACCAGGCUGGAGGAGGUCUUGGAUGCCACAGCUCCUUUUGAAUUUCAAAGACGUUCAAAUCCCCAUCUGGCUGUUACACUUUUAGGCUAUUGAGAGUGAAAACAAGCACUGACAUGAACACCCAACCAGCUGCCGGUGACAUCGUCCCCUUCUGAGAUCUGAGGACAUGGAUACCCAACCACCUGCCGGUGACAUCGUCUCCUUCUGAGAUCUGAGGACAUGAACACCCAACCACCUGCCGGUGAUAUCGUCCCCUUCUGAGAUCUGAGGACGUGGAUAUCCAACCACCUGCCGGUGACAUUGUCUCCUUCUGAGAUCUGAGGACAUGGACACCAAACCACCUGCCGGUGACAUUGUCUCCUUCUGAGAUCUGAGGACAUGAACACCAAACCACCUGCCAGUGACAUCGUCCCCUUCUGAGAUCUGAGGACAUGGAUACCCAACCACCUGCCGGUGACAUCGUCUCCUUCUGAGAUCUGAGGACAUGGACACCCAACCACCUGCCGGUGACAUCGUCUCCUUCUGAGAUCUGAGGACAUGAACACCCAACCACCUGCCGGUGAUAUCGUCCCCUUCUGAGAUCUGAGGACGUGGAUAUCCAACCACCUGCCGGUGACAUUGUCUCCUUCUGAGAUCUGAGGACAUGGACACCAAACCACCUGCCGGUGACAUUGUCUCCUUCUGAGAUCUGAGGACAUGAACACCAAACCACCUGCCAGUGACAUCGUCCCCUUCUGAGAUCUGAGGACAUGGAUACCCAACCACCUGCCGGUGACAUCAUCUUCUUCUGAGAUCUGAGGACAUGGACACCCAACCACCUGCCGGUGACAUCGUCUCCUUCUGAGAUCUGAGGACAUGGACACCAAACCACCUGCCGGUGACAUCGUCUCCUUCUGAGAUCUGAGGACAUGAACACCCAACCACCUGCCGGUGAUAUCGUCCCCUUCUGAGAUCUGAGGACGUGGAUAUCCAACCACCUGCCGGUGACAUUGUCUCCUUCUGAGAUCUGAGGACAUGGACACCAAACCACCUGCUGGUGACAUUGUCUCCUUCUGAGAUCUGAGGACAUGAACACCAAACCACCUGCCAGUGACAUCGUCCCCUUCUGAGAUCUGAGGACAUGGAUACCCAACCACCUGCCGGUGACAUCAUCUUCUUCUGAGAUCUGAGGACAUGGACACCCAACCACCUGCCGGUGACAUCGUCUCCUUCUGAGAUCUGAGGACAUGGACACCAAACCACCUGCCGGUGACAUCGUCUCCUUCUGAGAUCUGAGGACAUGAACACCCAACCACCUGCCGGUGACAUCGUCCCCUUCUGAGAUCUGAGGACAUUGAUACCCAGCCACCUGCCGGUGACAUCGUCUCCUUCUGAGAUCUGAGGAUAUGGACACCAAACCACCUGCCGGUGACAUCGUCUCCUUCUGAGAUCUGAGGACAUGAACACCCAACCACCUGCCGGUGACAUCGUCCCCUUCUGAGAUCUGAGGACAUGGAUACCCAACCACCUGCCGGUGACAUCGUCUCCUUCUGAGAUCUGAGGACAUGGACACCCAACCUGCUGCUGGUGACAUCGUUCCCUUCUGAGAUCUGAGGACAUGGACACCAAACCACCUGCCAGUGACAUCGUCUCCUUCUGAGAUCUGAGGACAUGGACACCAAACCUGCUGCCGGUGACAUCGUCCCCUUCUGAGAUCUGAGGACAUGGACACCCAACCACCUGCCGGUGACAUCGUCUCCUUCUGAGGUCUGAGGACAGACACUCACAUGGACACCUAAACACCUGCCGAUGAUAUUGUCUCCUUCUGAAAUCUGAGGACAUGGACACCCAACCAGCUGCUGGUGACAUCAUCUCCUUCUGAGAUCUGAGGACAGACACUCACAUAGACGCCCAAUCAGCUGCUGGUGACAUUGUCUCCUUCUGAAAUCUGAGGGUUGGAACACAUUGGCCUGGCUCAGUGUUUCUCCAUGUGGUUUUGAGACCACCUGAGUUGGAACCGAUAUGGGUUCCCAGCCUCACGCCUGGAGAGCUGGAUUUUGCGAGUGUGAGGUUAGGUCCAGCAUCUGCAUGUGUAACGAGCUCCCAGGUGUUUCGUAGAUGCAUUAGGGCUUGAGAAGCUCCUUUCUAGCACCAUCUUCCUUUUUGCGCAUGAGGGAGUUCAGGUCCAGAGAAAUAAAGCAGCAAGGUUAGUGGCACAGCUGGCGCCCCCUGCUUUCUAGGAAUUUAGAAUAUUAUUGAAGAGAGAGGUAUUAGAACCUGUGAAGUCAAUACAGAGACCUCCAGGCGAGUGGCAUCCUCACUGAAACCACUGACAAGUAUGCUGAAUAGAAAGUGUCAUUUCUCCUGGAAGACCCUCAGUGACCCAGCUGGAGGGUCUCUCCUACUCAUCAGCUGUCCCUCACUCUGCCAUUUCAGCAGCUCUGCUCACCCUGAGCAUGCAGAGAGAGCAGCUUUUAAAUGAGUUCUAAUCCAGACCAGCUUGGCUAGCAUUGUCUGUGUAGAGGUGUGCUAGUAAGUCUAACAACUGGCUCUCUGAGAGAGAGUAGCCCUACCUAACUGGUAGCAUUUGCCACUUCCCAUGGUGUAAAUACUCCCAGCAUGGCCAACUUCAAGCUUACUAAGAGGAUUUCGCUGAUCAUGGUUUUGGGGAGAGAUGUGCAGAUUGACUCCUGCCAGCUAGUAGGAGCCGGCUCCAGCACACCACGGCAUCUGUGUCCAGGAACCAGGCUGAGAUGUGGGAAGGCCAGAGAAGGAGGAGGCUGGCAGAUGCCUGAGGGCUGGGAAGGAUUGCAUCCAGGAGGACGGCCGUGGUGGGCAUCCCUGCAUUGGGGGGCAGCCGGGCCCAAGAUCCAGGGGGACAGAAAGCACAAAUGGUGCUGGGGUUCAGUGCCACACUCACCCUGGGGCAGAGGAGGGUGACACUGGCCCUGCCACCUGACCUCAGCCUCAGGGGCUCCAGAUCCUAGCCAGAGGCCUUGAGUGCUUCCUGCCACAAAGGCAGGGGGUGGCCUGGGAUUUCCUCUCUGAUCGGAGCUGAUGUUUCCCUCCAGGAAACCAUCCCUGCUCACCUUGCUAGGCCUGGGGCAAGUUGGAGUGAAGGGCAGGUCCCUCAGCCUUGCCUUUGAGACCUUACCUUCCACUUCAUUCCCGUCUGUGGCUCUCAUUCCUUCCCCACCCCUGCCCUAUGCUCUGGUGAGAAGGUGCAACCCUGUGAGCCCCCAUAGCAAGGUUCACUCCAGCCGUGCUUUCUGCUUGCUUUUGGUUUGUGAAAACCCUCCACUUUCUUAGAGGCCUUCUGCAAAUGUCAUUUCUUCAUAAGGAUCUUCCUACCCCGCCCGAGCCAGGGAGAUCCCUCCCUUCUCUGAGCCUAGAGCACCAUGUCCCUUCCCUGUAGCCCUGGUGACGUGCACCCUGGAUGGUGGCCCUUCCAGUGACAUGGAGGAUGUUUUCCCUCUACAGACACUGUCUGGUUUUAGGAUCCCGGAGCCAGGCAUCUCGCUCACCCCUGUAGCCACCACAGCAUUCAGCCCUGCAGCCUGGGACCUUGCUAAGGUCUUGCUUUACCCCUAAAAACCAAAAAUAGUGUGUCACCUUUAGCAGUGAUUGCCAACGCCUCUGGAGUGCUGGCUGGGACAGGCAUCUCUAUUUUCAUCCUCACCAAUCCUGCCAGGGAGCUACUCUGGGGAGCCCCAUCCUGCUGAUGAAUGACCGAGUCUCGCAGCGAUGACGGAACCUGCAGGUCCCAGGCUUGGGCCCAGGUCUGUCUUUCUCCAGGGGCCUCACAUCCAUCUCCUUCCCAGCUCUCCUUUUCUGUAAGACUUCACAGAACAGGUUCAAAAUCCAUUUGCUGGCCGAGCACAGUGGUUCACGCCUGUAAUCCAGCACUGUGGGAGGCCUCGAGGCAGGUGGAUCACCUGAGGUCAGGAGUUCGAGACCAGCCUGGCCAACAUGGCGAAACCCCAUCUCUACUAAAA
This 4402-nucleotide long non-coding RNA is filed under the name Homo sapiens (human). RNAcentral describes it as "HSALNT0391847". The record is from RNAcentral. Lineage: Eukaryota; Metazoa; Chordata; Mammalia; Primates; Hominidae.